AUGUGCUAAUGAUACAUGACAUCACGGACACAGUAGUUCAAAGGUCAAAGCGUUGUCUCUUGGUUUGAAGCCCGGCGGCCGAAGGGGAUGUAGUUCAUCAGACGGCCACUAGGAGAACAUGACGCCACUUCUCUCGAUCUCUAGUUUCAAGUCAACAGCAUGAUGUUCAUUCAGUGAAGGCGGGGCCUCCUGUGAUUGACAGCUAAUUCCCGUUCACCGGUGGUUUGAAGCCACGAUGUCCUCUCAUUUAUGCUGUCAAUGCGGUAAAAUGUUUGUUGGUUCUUCGUGGAACCCACUAAUGAAUCGGCCACAUCAGGUUUCCAAUAUCAAGCUCUCAAGUUUCCACGUGAAUCUCUGAAAAAUUCAGAAACAGAGACUUUCAAUAUCGGAAAGCUAAUAUUGGGAAAAUCAAACAUCCAAUUAAACCCACCAGGAGUUCCCAUAUGUCUCACUACCGGUCUGUAGCUGACACAAAAUAAAAUCAUCGUUUGUAUGAAUGAAAUAUUAAUCUUAAGUAUUAACUAUUUAUCCAUCGGAUGCAAACAGAGACUUAUUCCCUCACAAUGUGUGGAAACUUCAGGCUGUCGGUUCGGAGGAUCCGAUUGGUCGCUGGUUACGUCCUAAUCAGCCCGGGUCUUUACUCGGAGCCCCAAGAAUCCACACGCGUGUGGACGGAGCCGCUGGGCUCGCCACGCUCCACCACGCCGCUUUCUCCUCACGCCAUCGGUCCAACGGACACGCAAGUUCAGCGAGUCAAAUUCAGAAGCAGAACAAACCGCUGAUACGGUUCCUGGUGUGUCAGAUUAUUCCACUUACGCACUGACUAAAAGCUACGUUUGUUAAUAGAUAUUAGUCAUAAUAAUGGAUGUUGUUUUAGGAUCCUUCCAUUGGACGUCAUUCCCAUCCUAAACACAUCCACCUAUUUCCUAUGAAGGUUUGUCGUCCUUAUUAUCGUAUAAGUCUGUAAAGCAUUAUAACAAGCACCAUAUCACUGCUGCUGAGGCCGAUAACUCUCAAUGGAGAACAAACAAACAAACAAACAGCCAGUGAGGAUGUGAAGAGUCCACAGCACAUUACAUUCUUUUAUUACUACCGCACGCACCGGCUCGUCUCACACAAUAUUCUUUCCCUUUUGGCAUUCGGAUCGAUUAUCUCACGUCGCCAUAGAAACCCAAUGGCAGUAAACUAAAUGCUGUUUCAAUUCAAAAGGCCAUGUAUUGCCAAACCGAUUCCCACACAACCAUCGGUGGUUUUCUCCGAUCUGACCCCUGUUCGUUAGGUUUAGUGACCCCCGCAUAUCAAGUUGAUUCAUCUCCCGAAUCCGCAUUUCACAGACAAUCCUUUUUACUCGGUUCAUGCAUCCGCCCGUAUUCCAUGAUUGCGUCAUGUUGCAUCGGCCCUGCCUCCGUCCCCCCCGGAGACGUCCCCUCUUCUGUUUGGUUUUGACCCCCUUGUGUGUUCAGACAAGCUUCUACAGGCUUUAAUUUAAUCAAGCACAAGCCCCGAGUCUGGAGAAAAUAAUAAAACCUCGCUGCAUCUCCAUCACUGGAGGAGGAAGAGGAGCAGAGCAGGAAUGAUAGUUGUCUUAUCUCCUCACUCGAUUUAUUACCAGCGUGGAACUCCACACAGACACACACACACGCGCACACACACGCGCACACACACGCGCACACACACUUCAGAACUCCGGACAGAAAUAACUCCGAUACAGAUUGUGGUAUUUAUUACCAGCCGUGUGUAACACCGCGCGCACACUACAGGCCUGGUUUGUUCCACUGCGCACGUGCACGCACUGCGCGGGCUGUGUGGACAAAAUAACAGGAACAACUCGUGAUGUGAGCGCUUCCUUGAUUUCUCUUCACUCGCCUCGAUUCCUGGAAUCCAAAUAGGCCGAAGACACGAGGGAAAUAAGGAGAGGGUUUUAACAAAUCGAUCCUUCGCCUCACGCGUCUCCGGACUGUGUCACAGUAUUAUUUUAUUUCCGUCAACAUAUACGACGUAGACUCAUCGUGCUUUAGAAAGUGAUGUCCUAUAAAGUAAUAUCAUGUUUGCAGUUUCAGACAAAUUGUCACGCUGAAGGUCUUCCGGUUCUCUGGCCUUCACCGGAGCGGAUGACCAGCAUGCACUUGGGCGACGGGUUUGGCUUUCUAAUCUCAGGCUAAUCCAUGGAUGGAUGGGCCCCGUGGCCCUAUUGAUCCCUCUGUUGACUGCAGUAAUGAAGGUUACGAUAGAUUGUUGUGUCUCACCGAGGCUGCUAAGCUCUCAGCUCCUCGAUGACCUUUGAGUCCCAUUAACAGUGAAUGCGGUCCAGCUGAGCACUGCAGCGGAGGUCUGGCUGCAGCUCAGUCAAACGUGACGUGCAGGUGCUCGUGGCGCUAAUGGCAUUUACCGGCGUCGCCGUCACGAUUACAGCUGAAGGACUCUUCGUCGCUCCUCGUCUCCCUCCCGGCCUCUUGCGGGACGCCUGUGCCGCACAUAAACAAAGCCUCCUCCUCCCGCGUUCAUGAGAGAAUAAAAAAAUCCAUAAGCAUCAGGGCUGCAUGCACACAGGAGCAUGUACCGGUUCCAGAAAUGGAGGGAAAUGCACACGCAUGUUGUUGCCCCCUCAUUAGGGUGCAACACAUCCCGGAUGUAGAGGCGACGGCGUGACACCUGAUGGGUAGAAAGGCGCCAUGUCCACAUCGCCAGAUAACUAUUCACCAACGAUUCCUGCUGCGUUGCACUAAGAAAGUCCAGCAGAGCGUGUUCAGUCCUUUCAAAAUAAACUUCAGUCUGCCCAGGGAAGCCAUCAGUCAGGUUUAUGCAGACAAUUAUUUAGUUAUCCAGGCUCGGGCUCAAAUGACUGACAAUAUGAAGUGUGUUACAUUAGAAUGGUUCUACAUGGAUGUCCUGGAGGACAGUUGGAUCCGACAGUACUAGAUUCAUGUAUUUUAUCGACCACUCAUCGGCCCACAUGCAAACCUAUUUCUGGCCGACUGGUUCGACUCUUCUGGUGGACACGUGGACACGUAAUGUAUGUAACAAAAUGUUUACAUGAACACACGCGGCUUCUGCUUCACUGAGCUGUUUAACCUCUGCGUGUGUAGGCGUGUGGCCUCGGAACGCCGUCCAGCUGUCGCCGCCACCUCUGGUUGAGUUUGGAUUAAAACGUGUUAUGAGCACAAACGCACGUUCGGCUUGGCGAAUACGGUGAAUAUAUAAAUGAGUUUUUUAUGUGUGGUAUAUUAAAUAAUUGUAUCUGGGGAACUACUUUUUUCCUAAUGUGAAACCACGGAGGAACAUUUCUUAAAAGGCGUAACCUAUAAACCAUGAGAUGAGCACAUUUGUGUGAUUUCACAUUUUUCUGUUCAAUAAAAGGCUUAAAACCUUCUUAGUGAGGUUUUCAUGCGUCCCUCUGGUUCCCGUUUCCUGUAUUCUCAUCAUGCCUGAUUAGCAGAGAGUGAAGAUUUCCCCACACAGAAGUUCAUUCCAAGCCGCCGUAUGUUCCAGCUGUCAGUAGAUGUGUUCAUACGUCUCUGACAAACACGCCGCUUAGAUGCAAACGUUUGCUCCCGGUCCUUCUAAAAAUAAGCUGCUUGCAUUGGAAUCUAAAGACGGACCUGUUUCCUCCUCCAGCGUGUUUGUUGCUGCCAAUCUUCAUCUCUCAUCUCCAGUCUAAAGAUGACACAUGGCGCAUGAGUUUCUCUUGGUAUUGAUUUCACGUCCUGCGUGAAGGGACAAUAGAUGUGAUUAAAAAAAGAGACCUAACGUAUCGCAGCAAUCUGAAAGCAAAGAUGCUCAAAACACGCACGCUGAAGAGGAAGCACGGUGUGGACGUCUGAGGGUUAAACUGCUGAUGACCACAAGAUGCUGUGCUGCUUCCCCCGUCGUCGGUUGGAGGAGGCAGGAAGUGGGAGGGAACAGUAAGGAAAAUUAAAAAAAAGAUAAAACCUAAUGAUACGUUUCGUUGAGAUAAUGAAAGAGCUUCUUUGAGUGACAGUUAGACGGGUGACCACAUGCUUUACUCCUCUUACAAAGACUCUCCAGGGUUUCUGAUGGCUGUCAGAAGGACGACCCUUCUACUCACGUUUGAGCAACUCUGAUAAGCUGAAGCCGCUUCUUAUUGUUAACUGUCACAGGGGCCACGAACGCCUCCGAACCAGUCUGUCCUCUGACCAGUCUGUCCCCUGAACCAGUCUGUCCUCCGACCAGUCUGUCCUCCGACCAGUCUGUCCUCUGACCAGUCUGUCCUCCGACCAGUCUGUCCUCUGACCAGUCUGUCCUCUGACCAGUCUGUCCCCUGAACCAGUCUGUCCUCCGAACCAUCUGUCACCCGAACCAGUCUGUCCUCCGAACCGUCUGUCCCCCGAACCAGUCUGUCCUCCGAACCAGUCUGUCCUCCACAAAGUCUCUUUGGCUGUAGUGAGACUGGAGAGGUUUAAACUCUACUCAGAAACCUGCCGAGCUAACGUUAGCACAGUUAGCAUAUUGCUAGCGUUAGCACUCAGAGUCCUACUCGUGCUGCUUUGGCUUUUGACUCUAGCAGUGAAUGCAGACCGACGGGUUGCUUCGUUGUCCUCCGUGUCCAUCGGCAUGCUGACCAAGUGGUUCACUUUUACACGGCGACCUGCAGGCAGCUUCUCUUUCAUUCUCUGUCACCAGUUUAACAAAUCGGCCGCAUGGAGCCUGCUCACCUGUUCAUGCGCUUGCUAACAGGCGCUUUUAUUCUUCUCCUGCGCGGUGUGUUUACGUUCCGUUUGCAACGAGUCCCCAGCUGCAUGCUGAUGUGUCCGUGUGUCUGCACAGAUAAUACUGAACGCUCUGCUGCAGUGAGACAUCCGUCUCUACCCUCCUCACAGCCGCCCUGCAAGACACCUGGCCGAUGGUCUGCUCCUUCUAUUUCACACGCACGCACACGAACACGUGCGCGCAUUGGAAAUGUCCUUUAACGCUUCAGGGGUCUCCUCUUGUGUGUUUGACUGCUGCCUGCUGCUCGCUGAGGUGGACUGAUUGAAAAUAACAUUUCUUUUAGCUUUUCUCAGCCCAGUGCUGUUGCAUGCUGGUCGCACACACACACACACACACACACACACACACACACACACACACACACACACACACACAGAGCAUCUGCACCUGCCCUAUAAGACGGAGGAGAGGCGUUUGUUUUGCGGGCAAAAAGUUUUGUCCUCACGGGACGUCCCUUCAGGCCGCUCACGUCCCCUCACGCUCACUACACUGUCUCCUAGUUUGAAUAGUGAAAACCGCCGCGUAUUUGGACGUUUUUAAUAGAUAUUUUAAUGCCAAUUACGUUCAAAUGUCAAUCAAGGGGCCUCAAUUAAAUUCCUUUUGUAGACCAAAAUUGCAAGUAAAGAAUUUGCCCCAGAGGGCUUUGCAGUUCCGCUCCUCUGUCCCUAAACCCCCCCCAUCGGCACAGGAAAAACCCCAAGUAUGAAAAAAACGUAACCUUGGGGACGGACAGACUACGAUGGAUGUCAUGUGUACAGAAUGUACAGACCCCAGAGACCCCCCCUGUAUUUCCCACACUGGCUGUAAAUGGGGCAGUUAGCAUCUUAAUCCAGGCUAAUUAUUAAAUAUUCCGGUUAUUGUUCCUAUCAGGGUCCAGGUUCCUAUAAGGGUGAAUGAUCCAGAGUGUAACCGGUCAGAGACCAACACCAGCAGAGACGUUCUUCCCUCCUCUCGCUUGUUUUACCUCCGCUGGUUUCUCUCGGCCCCUCGGGGGGCCCGACCUGCUGAUCCGCCCCGCUGACCCGCCCUGACCUCUCCGCUUGUAAACAGCCCGGCGGCGAGGUGUCCGACUGGCUUCCGAACGCAGCAGAGCGACAGCAGGGGGAGAUGGCGGGAGGCUGAACAGAGUCUCUGCCUGGCAAAGUGAGAAAUCACUGUGUGAGGGAGGAGGUGUGAAGCCGAGCACACGGAACGCACAUUUAGAUGGUGCGUGUUUGAUGAGAGGGGGGGAGAUGAGUGUCAGCCGCGUUGCCAAUGCGUCCGUGUCAUAAUGGGAGAGCAAAAAAAAAAAAAAAGCAUCGCGGCGGUGGAGAUGUUCUCCGGGGACAUCACGUCCCCGAACCACAAGAAGAUGUCUCAUCACGGCUCCUUCCUUCGGGAGCCCUUUUUGUUCUUUUCACCCGCCUGCAAACAGCAGCGAAUAGUAAGUACGUCCACUUUGAUUCUGUGACAAGCUCAAUGUUGCUCGCGCUCACUAAAGUGAAACUGAAGAGAAGUGAGGCGUGAGACAAACACAGGACUUUCAUCCAGGACGCCGGACCAGGAAGUUCGUCUUCCAAAAUGUCAUUGAGUUACAGUAGUGAUGUUUGUGAUGUUUGCUAUUGUUAGCAUUAGCAUGAGGACCUAGCUGCCUCACCGCUCACCUUGUCAUCAUUUGACUCGGCAUCCUGCUGAUGCUGGUGUCCUCAGCAUCAUCUCGUCCAUGCUGUGAGCCCAUGACACCGAUGAUCAAACUGAAUAAUAGUAAAGAGAAAUCCUCUUUAGGGCAGGAUGUGUGACAUCAUCUCAAAGGCAUCUGUCCAUUUGCACACCUGCUGACUCUGGUCCAGGUGCACAGUGCAGCAGCAAUCCACCAGGAAUCCAUCAGAAGGGGCAUUUUACACAUGAAGGAGCCGGGCCGCGGCAUCACGGCGUAGCUGAGGAACCGACAUGCUCGAAAAAUCACCACAGCAGACGUCGCUUUAAAGGAGCACGCCGCUUUUAAAGUGCCCGCUUUGGAAAAGUUAAACCGUAUAUAUCUUGGUUUAAUGGAACAAUUUACAACUUACAAAGAUAGUGAGGUGAUGUGAUGACGGGUAUGAUGCUUCAUUUUAAUGUUUGCUUUACUAUCAUUUCAAACCGACCUCAUAAUAAAGAAUGAAACGACGGCCUUUGUCAGAGGAGACUGAUGCAGAGGCCGCGUUA
Gasterosteus aculeatus aculeatus (three-spined stickleback) is the source of this 6912-nucleotide long non-coding RNA. The record is from Ensembl. NCBI's taxonomy places the organism in Eukaryota, Metazoa, Chordata, Actinopteri, Perciformes, Gasterosteidae.